GGUCUCGUAGCUCAGUUGGUAGAGGGUACGCUGUACAAGAGGGGAAGGCGGCGCCCAUGCGUGGGUUCGAAUCCUACCGGGGCUA
RNAcentral lists this transfer RNA (85 nucleotides) under Echinostoma caproni. It matches the Rfam family "tRNA". Rfam says of the family: Transfer RNA (tRNA) molecules are approximately 80 nucleotides in length. Their secondary structure includes four short double-helical elements and three loops (D, anti-codon, and T loops). The record is from Rfam by way of RNAcentral. Lineage: Eukaryota; Metazoa; Platyhelminthes; Trematoda; Plagiorchiida; Echinostomatidae.